GAUGUCAUCGUUGAAGCGUCGUGCAGGGAAACAACAUCUGGCUCGGUUUAACGUGGGAAUGAACAGGAUCAACUUUCCGGGACUUUUUAUGAUAUUUUUUUCAACAGAUCGAAAACAGAUUUCACCGGAAUAUGGAAGAAUUAAUAGAACAGCAAACUGAAACCAAAGGUCGCGACUUUGAGGUCUGGGAACGUUUCUGUUUGUUUUUAGGUGUCUGAUCUCUAUCAGAAUAUAACAGUUUGAUCGUUGAGAAUGACAAUGCCAAGCAUUAUUUAGUGACAAGAUAUCAUAUGGUAUUAGUAGAGCAUUAUGGGAUGUGUUUGCCUAUUACUAAUGGAUUGGAGGACUGGACGUCUGUGAGUGGAUUUUACAUUUGCGUGUGACAGAGGGAAAGGUAAACCAGCUCUUCCCUUCACACCUCUUGUGCUAAAGUUCAUCCACCUCCAGCUUCAGGUGCUCUGACACACUGUGUGUUUGUUUCCUUGUCUUUGAGCGAAGAACUCGCUCUUUGUGAACUUUUGUGUGUGUGUGUGUGUGUGUGUGUGUGUGUGUGUGUGUGUGUGUGUGUG
Molecule: long non-coding RNA, 569 nt
Organism: Oncorhynchus gorbuscha (pink salmon)
Lineage: Eukaryota; Metazoa; Chordata; Actinopteri; Salmoniformes; Salmonidae
Exons: 3
Source: RefSeq, a predicted model, not a curated record